GACGAACGCUGGCGGCGUGCUUAACACAUGCAAGUCGAACGGAAAGGCCCUGCUUUUGUGGGGUGCUCGAGUGGCGAACGGGUGAGUAACACGUGAGUAACCUGCCCUUGACUUUGGGAUAACUUCAGGAAACUGGGGCUAAUACCGGAUAGGAGCUCCUGCUGCAUGGGGGGGGUUGGAAAGUUUCGGCGGUUGGGGAUGGACUCGCGGCUUAUCCGCUUGUUGGUGGGGUAGGGGCAUACCAAGGGUUUGACGGGUAGCCGGCCUGAGAGGGUGACCGGCCACAUUGGGACUAAGAUACGGCCCAGACUGCUACGGGAGGCAGCAGUGGGGAAUAUUGCACAAUGGGCGGAAGCCUGAUGCAGCAACGCCGCGUGCGGGAUGACGGCCUUCGGGUUGUAAACCGCUUUCGCCUGUGACGAAGCGUGAGUGACGGUAAUGGGUAAAGAAGCACCGGCUAACUACGUG
This 468-nucleotide ribosomal RNA is filed under the name uncultured bacterium. RNAcentral describes it as "partial 16S ribosomal RNA". It matches the Rfam family "Bacterial small subunit ribosomal RNA", at positions 28 to 507 of the family's 1533-position model. The record is from RNAcentral.